RNAcentral lists this long non-coding RNA (240 nucleotides) under Mytilus galloprovincialis (Mediterranean mussel). The record is from RNAcentral. Lineage: Eukaryota; Metazoa; Mollusca; Bivalvia; Mytilida; Mytilidae.
CUUAACUUUGUGAAUUAUCAAUGAUUAUGUGGUCAAAUUAGAACUGUUAGAUUGGCAUAAUGACCAUAUAGUUGCACACAUACAAAAAUCGUUAGCAUAACUUAUAAUAGAGAAUCAACAUAGAAAACAAUUCUUCGAGUAGCUAUAUAGUCACUCACUGAACUAUGAAAAAGAGUUCAAGACAAUCAUAUCAAAACAAAUAAAUUGUAAUAUUGGAGCAAAAGAUACCAGAUGAACAGC